AACGCACCUUGCGCUCCUUGGCAUUCCGAGGAGCAUGCCUGUUCGAGUGUCUUUGAACUAGUCGACCCCAAGUCAUUGGGGCUUCGGAUAUUGGACGUCGUGCAGCUUUAGGGUUGCUCGUCCUAAACUCAUUAGCCGCGUUUUCGUCCUGGUGAUGGAGUGUAAAUGCAUCUCCGUCCUUGCCAGCGUCACGCGUGGCUGAAAACCCCCAGACACACACGUGUCAUUCUUUUGGCCUCGAAUCAGGUAGGACUACCCGCUGAACUUAA
Molecule: unclassified non-coding RNA, 269 nt
Filed under: uncultured fungus
Lineage: Eukaryota; Fungi
Description: sequence contains ITS2
Source: RNAcentral